CACAGCCACAGCAACACGGGAUCUGAGCCGCGUCUGCAACCCACACGGCAACGUGGGAUCCUUAACCCACUGAGCAAGGCCAGGGUUCAAACCUACAACCUCAUGGUUCCCAUACAUUUUCAGCUACAUUACCACUGAACCACAGUGGGAAAUCCUAUCCUGUCUUCUAGAAGGAAUAAAAAUGACGGAAGGGACAUCAUCCACUUAUUGUUCAGGAGGUGACCCAGAAAUCGUAAAUUUCACAUCUCAUAUUCCACUGGUGAGACUUACUUGUCUGGUCACACCCAAUAUUACGGGAGACUGGGAAAUGUAGCAGCAUGCCCAUUGCUCUGUUAAAAUUUAGGGUCAGGGCUCAUAAAAUUAAGACAAAAGGAGGAACUAAUACUGGUAGUUCAUAAUUUCCACUGCAUAGGAUUUUAAUAUUUACCUUCUGGUUCUGUAUAUCAUCUUGCAACACUCUUACAGUGUUUUCAAGUUCAAAAUAGUUCAUCUUCAGAACCAUUUUUCAUAUGCUUAAAAAUCAGAGCAAAUUUUUUAUUAAAUAGUGAUAAUUUAUUCAUUUCUUUAUUGCAUACUUGAUGGACUCAAGGCUUACAUAGUGCUCUACAAAUGCAAUAAAGAUGGUUCUUGCCAUCCAGAUACUGAGCUUUAUCAGGGAGAGCACUGGUGAUUACAGCAAAUGCCCCUUGAUGCUAAGCAUGACAGCAGGGCAGUGAGGCAAACACCACUCUCAGCCAGUAACCAGGGAGGGCAUCACUGAAGAGGUCAUCUUGGACCUAGGUUUUGUAGGAUGGCCAUGAUUUUGAUUAGUGUCAGUAUUAUGAGAAGUCAAAGCAAAGCUAUGAAAGCAGAAAAAGAGAAUUUCUAAUCUAACAGGAAGGGAAGAUUCAGGCUGAGGGCAAUGAGGGGAAGGCAGGAAGCCAGAUCUUGCAAAGGCCUUGAAACAGAGCCUGGUAUGAUAUUUCUGAGUUUUGUUUUGAUCUCUUGCUUUUGGGCUGAGGGUGAAGUGAAAUGAAAAGGUCUUUAUCCUCUGAAGGUCUUGAUCAUGGCAGUAUUUGGGAAAAUUCUUUGGAUAGUGUUAGGACAAAUAAAAUGGAGGUGGGGAAGGCAAAGCUUUGCAGAACUUGGAUAAUAAAAACCAGAUGGAUGGACCCAGUGAGAUUCUCAUACUAAGGGAAGUAAGUCAGGCAGAGAAAAACAAAUACUAUAUGAGAUCACUUACGUGUGGAAUAUAAAACAUGACACAAAUCAACAUAUCAACGAAACAUAAGCAGACUCACAGACAUAAAGAACAGACUUGUGGUUGCCAUGGGGGAGGGAUAGAUUGGGAGUUUAGGAUUAAUAUAUACACACUACUAUAUAUAAAAUAUAUAGUCAACAAGGUCCUACUGUAUAGUACAGGGAACAAUAUUCAAUAUCCUAUGAUAAACCAUAAUGGAAAAGAAAACGAAAAAGAAUAUAUAUAUAUAUGUGUAACCGAAUCAAUCACUUUACUAUACAGUAGAAAUUAACAUAUUAUAAAUGAACUUUAAUUCCACCAAAUUUUUUUCUAAAAGACUUACCUAGGGAUUUCUGUGUCUUGUUAACUCCAUAAAAAAUAUAAUUCUGAACAUUAAUGUGAGCAAGUAGAAUUUUGACAAGAUUGAGAACAAGAAGUGGAGAGAGAAGUAGAUCUGCUGUAACAAAGGACCACUCACUGGGGGUGUGGAUGGGGGCUAACACAACAGUAAUAUGUUGUCUCACAGCCCUGAUGGCUGGAGAUGCAAGAUCAUGGUGUCCACCAGAUCGUCCUUCUGAGGCCAUGAGGAUGGGUGUCCACCCCAGCCCCUGUCCUGGAUUUGCAGGUGGCUGUCUUCUCCAUGGCCCCCUCCCUCCGUAGGUGUCUGAGUCCAAAUCUCCCCUUUGCAUAACGACACAAGUUUUGCUGCCUUAGGGCCCAUCUUAAUGACCUACUUUAAUCUGAUUACUUCUGAAAGGCUAUCUUCAAACGACACCACACUCUGAGGUAGGGGUUAGGACUCCAGGACAUAUUUGGGGGAAGCAGUUAAAACCAUAACAUGUCUUAUGGUCAUUAAUAUUUACAUGGUGUCUCCUUCAUGCAUGGAAUGUCCAGAUUUCUCCCUUCUUUCUUCCCCCCUCUCUCCAUCAUUUCUUUCUUUCCUUUUUUAUUUUUUUAUUUUUAAAUUUUUUUUCCUUUUGGGGAAGCACCUGUGGCACAUGGAGUUUCCCAGGCUAGGGGGUUGAAUUGGAGCUACAGCUGCCGGCCUAUGCCACAGCCACAGCAAUGCCAGACUGCUGAUCCGAGCUACCUCUUCGACCUACACUCACAGCAAUGCCGGAUCCUUAACCCACUUAGCAGGGCCAGGGAUGAAAUCUGCAUCCUCAUCAAUACUAGUCAGGUUUGUUAUCCCUGAGCCAUGACAGGAACUCUAUUCUUUUUAAAAAAAAAUUUCAUUAAAGUAUAGUUGAUUUACAAUAUUGUGCCAAUUUCUGCUGUACAGCAUAGUGACCCAGUCAUAUAUAUAUAUAUAUAUGUACAUUCUUUGUCUCAUACUAUCUUCCAUCGUGUUCUAUCCUGAGACAGUGGAUAGAGUUCCCUGUGCUGUACAGUAGGACCUCAUUGCUUAUCCAUUCUAAAUGUAACGGUUUGCAUCUACCAACCCAAAUUUCCCAUCCAUCCCUCUGCUCCCUUGGCAACCAUAAGUCUGUUCUUUGUGUGAGUCUGUUUCUAUUUUGUAGAUGGGUUCAUUUGUGCCACAUUUUAUUUUAUUUUAUUUUGUUUUUGUGUGUGUUUUUAGGGCUACACCUGUAGCACACAGAGGUUCCCAGGCUAGGGGUUGAAUCAGAGCUGCAGCCGCCGGCCUACGCCACAGCCACAGUAACUCAGGAUCCGAGCCAUGUCUGCGACCUACACCACAGCUCACGGCAACGCCAGAUCCUUAACCCACUGAGCAAGGCAGGGGAUUGAACCUGCAACCUCAUGGUUACUACUCGGGUUCGUUAACCACUGAGCCACGAUGGGAACUCCUGUGCCAUAUUUUAGAUUCCACAUAUAUGUGAUAUCAUAUGGUAUUUGUCUCUCUCCAACUUACUUCACUUAGUGUGAGAAUUUCUAGAUGCGUCCAUGUUACUGGCAAAUGCCAUUAUUUCAUUCUUUUCAUAUUUCUUCUUUUCAUCAGGGCACUAGUACUCCUGGAUUAGGGGCCUAACCUUCCCCAGUAAUGACCUCAUCUAAACUAGUUACAUCUGCAAGGAUCCUGUUUCCCAAUUAAGUCACAUUCUGAAUUGUUACAGUCUAGGACUUGCACACUUACACCUCGAGCUUGGUCACCAGCCUUUAUGCCUUUGCUUGCAUUAACACAUCUCUAGUGACACCACAGUCUUUGACCACUUUAAUCAUCAAAUUCAGCUUAAAAACAGAGUGAGUUAUUUCCCUCCUGCUCCCCACCUCAAUGCUGUUAAAUUAACCAUUUAUCCUUCCUGCUAUUUUCCAUGCUGUCUUCUUUCCUCCUUUUGUUCUAAGUGGGACUUACUAUGCAAACUGUCUUAACACUCCCUUUUUUUACCUAACAUGUCUACAUUUCUACACACGGAUUUGAAUCAGUUUUUAAAAUAGCAGCAGGAGCUCCCUGAUGGCUCAGUUGAUUAAGGAUCUGGCAUUGUCAUUGCUGUGACAAGGGUUUGAUGCCUUGCCUGGGAACUUCCGCACAACCUGGCCAAAAAAAAUUAAAACGGCAGCAAAAUAACAGCCUUUGUACCAAACUAGCGGAUGUGGCCACCAGGUGGCAUUAGCGCACAAGCAGUGUCAUUGGGAGGGCCCACACAGACGUGCAGGGGUGGAAAGGCAGCCCUGACACCUCCACCUUCCAAAGGCAGGGAGAGAGAGAGUCUGGGGGGGAGACCCUGGGGGCAGAGAAUGAUGAAGAGCUGCGGUGGCUUAGGGGCUUUUACAGUGCAGGGUCGGUCUUCCCCGUGGCUAGCAGGUUUUGGGUGAGGUUUCCCUGGGCAGGAAAGCAGGGGGACUCAGCUGGCUAAACAUCUGAUCUUUGGAGCUGAAUUUCAAACAACUGGAUUUGGGAGCCAAUCAGGUUUUUGAGUUAUUGGGUCCUGCCUGCUGUGAGGAAGAAAAGAAGAUGCAAUUUUGUAGGGGCCACCUUUAGUUCAUCUGUGUAACAACUAGCUCCCUAUUGAAACACAUUUUAUUAGUUUCUCCCCAGCAAAAAAUUGUCACAGACAGGUCAGAAGAAAAAUGACUAACCAAUUUACAUCCUAUAUGACAAAAGGCUACUUUUAUUAAUGUAAUCAGGAUUCUUGGCAAGUAGGAUAAAAUGGUAAAGUAGCUCAAGGUCAUCCAAUCAACCCUGAGAAGUGACAGACACUGGAAGGAACUGGCUGUUAUAAGUGAGAUGACAACUGUGCCCUGGGGGGAAAGAUGGGAGCUGGUGAGGGACAUGGGAGGCCGUGGCCUGGGAGGGUCUGGAGAAGCUGUAACUCAGCUCUUGCCUCCCUUACCUCACUUAGGAAUGGGGAGACCCCUGGCCUCCCAGGAGUGUGAGGCACUGGCAAAGGAGACAGAAGCCAGCAAAGUAAGGAAACGAUGAAGACAGGUGCAGGGUGACAGGUGCCUCCUGAUCCCCUGUCAGCACAGGUCCUCUGGGCCCUGAUGCCUCUCCUUGAGGUUUGACCCUCCUUGUUCUCCAACUGUCCAAAGAGGACACAGUUGAGGAUGUGACUUUCAGAACUUCCUCAGUACACAGUGCAGGGCAAGAGAACUGACUCCCCAGUGAAAUGUGAUCCUGAGGUUCCAGGAAAAUACUCCUCAAAGAGAAAGUUAAAAUGAAUUAAAGCAGGAGUGUGGUGCAGUGGACUAAUGACCUGGUGUUGCCACAGCUGUGGCUCACAUUCAAUCCUUGGCCUGAGAACUGCCAUAUGCCACUGAUGCAACUGAAAAAGAUAAAAUAAAAUAGAAUAGAAUAAAAUAAAUAAAUGUGAACAGCACAUGCCACCCUAAGUAGAUUUAUUGAAAUGGAUGAGCCAAUAUAUUUUAAAUGAGUAUAACAUGUAUUCAAAAGAGUUGAAGAAGAAAAAGGUAACAAAAUGACAAGAAAUUAUUUUAGAAAACAAGUGAUACAUGAUAUGCUAAAAGGUUGGGAGAAUAGAAUUAUCAAAAUCCAGAUAAGAGAAAUCCCCAUGGGGAACUGAGGGGCCAUAGGGUACCAGGACACUUAAGAAAAUACUAAUACUUAGACACACUACAGUAAAACUGCAGAAAAGCAAAGAAAAACUAUGAAAAGAUUCCACACAAAAAAGUAAACCAUCCCAAAGGAACAAAAAUUAGACCAACAUGAGACUCCUCAACAGUAAUACUGGAUUCAAGAACAAUGGUGUAAUAAAUUUGUGCUUAAAAAUUUUUUUGCAUACUUCUUGCUAAGAAGUAUAGCCUACAAGCACAAAGGUGGAUAAAUCACAAUGUCACGCACUAAGAAAAAUUACAGAAUUUUUAAAGAAAUUACAGAAAUUAAGUAACCACCAGCCAGGUUAAGAAUACUGCUGGCCCUGAAGAAUCAUGCGUGUCUGACACAGUUCCUACUGUCAGAAAAGGCUUCCCCGCCCCUCCGGCGGGUUUUCCAGACUUUGGUGCAGCUAGAAACCCACCUUCGACUGAGCGCUCAGGCCUCGCCACAUCCUAGCUGCGGCCGAGCGACCCAGGGGCUGCGGCCUCACCCGGUCUCCGCUGCCUCGCCCCGGCGCACAGCGGGCAGCCUCUC
RNAcentral lists this long non-coding RNA (5768 nucleotides) under Sus scrofa (pig). RNAcentral's name for it is "lncRNA (ENSSSCG00035004803.1)". The record is from RNAcentral. Lineage: Eukaryota; Metazoa; Chordata; Mammalia; Artiodactyla; Suidae.